This 279-nucleotide ribosomal RNA is filed under the name uncultured bacterium. RNAcentral's name for it is "partial 16S ribosomal RNA". It matches the Rfam family "Bacterial small subunit ribosomal RNA", at positions 506 to 784 of the family's 1533-position model. The record is from RNAcentral.
UGCCAGCCGCCGCGGUAAUACGGAGGGUCCGAGCGUUAUCCGGAAUCAUUGGGUUUAAAGGGUCCGCAGGCGGUCAAUUAAGUCAGAGGUGAAAUCCCAUAGCUUAACUAUGGAACUGCCUUUGAUACUGGUUGACUUGAGUCAUAUGGAAGUAGAUAGAAUGUGUAGUGUAGCGGUGAAAUGCAUAGAUAUUACACAGAAUACCGAUUGCGAAGGCAGUCUACUACGUAUGUACUGACGCUGAGGGACGAAAGCGUGGGGAGCGAACAGGAUUAGAUA